Molecule: ribosomal RNA, 332 nt
Filed under: uncultured bacterium
Lineage: Bacteria
Description: bacterial SSU rRNA
Rfam family: Bacterial small subunit ribosomal RNA
Source: RNAcentral
UGCGUAGGCGGGUCUUUAAGUCAGGGUGAAAUCCUGGAGCUCAACUCCAGAACUGCCUUUGAUACUGAAGAUCUUGAGUUCGGGAGAGGUGAGUGGAACUGCGAGUGUAGAGGUGAAAUUCGUAGAUAUUCGCAAGAACACCGGUGGCGAAGGCGGCUCACUGGCCCGAUACUGACGCUGAGGGCACGAAAGCGUGGGGAGCAAACAGGAUUAGAUACCCCUGGUAGUCCACGCCGUAAACGAUGAAUGCCAGCCGUUAGUGGGUUUACUCACUAGUGGCGCAGCUAACGCUUUAAGGCAUUCCGCCUGGGGAGUACGGUCGCAAGAUUAAA